ACCCGAGUGACCCAUCUGCCUUAUCCCUAACCCGCUCUCGUCUCCCUCCCUAGGACGCAGCCGCCCACCGAAUCAAAUCUCGUCGCCGGGCUCGUCUGCCUCGCCGUGGCCGAUGAAUGCGUCGGCUGCGGCCACGCCCCCUCUCCAAACGGCAGCGAUGAUGGAGGGAGCAGCUCACGCUGGCCAGGCUCCCGACCGAACGCGUCGAGUCAUCUCUCCUCAGGGCCAACCCCUCCUAUUCAUCGCAUCUCUCCCUGACUCCGUCUCCUCCACGAUAUGUAGCACCACCCCACGCCAUGGACGCCCUUGCCAGCUGCAUCUCUCCAUGCACCGCCACUCCUAUGACACCGCCGCCCGGCAGUCUCCACCAGCACCACGACGGGCGUGGCCUCUGCACGCGCCGUCACCUCCCCUCCAGAUCCGGCCGUCGUCGAGGGCAUAUCCAUCCAGCAGUGCGCCGUCACCUCCCCUCCAGAUCCAGCCGUCGUCAAUGGCGUAUCCAUCCAGCAGCGCACCGUCAUCCCAAUCAUCACCGUCCACGGCGUCAUCGCCCAGGCCCAGUCAGGGGCCGACAAGACCUCAAUGAUCUCCCUCUUCGUCUGCCAGGUCAUUGAGACCAACGUCCACGAUUCAGUGUGGUAAUCUACAGCAAUCAAGUUAACAAAUCUGAAGCAUUUUAGCAAAGCAACGGUGCAAGUGCUCUUUUGGUGGAAGAUGAAGCUUUUGUUGGGCUUGUGAUGUUUUUCUGAAGAAGACUGACGAUGAACUCAAAAGACAGAUAUAGUACUAAAUGAUUCAGGACUGCCGUAGCUCCAGAAAGGAUGGCACUCUUCAUAUUGUGAUGCAACGUCAUAAUACUAGAUUGUUUCUAUUUGUUCUGAUGCAACUUCUAUAAUUGCAGGUUGCUACUACGGGAAUACCUGAUGUUGCUUCAUGUCAGUUAUAUCUUCCAAUAUUUACAGAAACUUCCGAAACUGGCACCAGGUCAGGACAUGCUGAUGAUAACCUUCCAGUUUUGCUAAAUCAUAGUUAAUUGAGUAAUCUCUACUCCUAAAGUGUUCUUCGAAGGUGCUCAUCAUCUGUCGAUACACAACACCGCAGUUAUUGGUGGUUUACACAGGAUAGUUUCCAGACCUUUAUCGCAAGAUGGACGAACUUGGCAUCUCAGCCAGGACUCUGCCUCAUCAAUAGUUUGAUGUCCAUUUGCAUGAAGUUAGGCCAGCAUCAGAAUAUCCGUAGCCUUUUUGAGGAGAUGAAGGUGAAGAAUAUUAAGCCGGAUAACCUCACAUGUUUCCUUCCAAUGACCAGCCGUGUGGCAUUGAACAAGAUAAAUGUUGUUGGAGAAGUUUUAGAAGAAAUGCAAGAAAAGGAUGUAGUUCUAGGGUGGUAUUCAUAUAGCAUGGUUUCUAUCUACCUGAGUGCUGGUUUGGUUUUAAAAAACAGUCCGCUCUCAAGAAACUCGAGGGCCUUGAUUUUAGAAGGUAACAUAAAUAUCUAGAUUGAUCGUUCAUGGUCCUGGGGCUCCUUUUUACAGUGAGGUGCGCCGUUAGGGCGUGCCCUGAAUCGAGAGGAACAAGUAUGUUCACUUUCUGUUCGCUUUGUGUUUGCUUUCUGUAGUCUCAAAGUAGAGCAAUGGUCACUGCAAAUUUUAUCAGAGAAUGUGCAACAAAAGCACGUUGAGAAGUUCCUGUGAGCCCUAAUUAUUUCUUGAGAAAGCAAACUUAUUUAUCCUUGCUCUAUUUUUUGUGUACUAAGAUUGUUCGUUUGUACCCAGCAUGUGUACGUGAUGUGCCCUGCCGCUGUGUGUGCUUCCUGCUGAUGUGUGUGCUUCCUGACGCUGUUGAGCAUGCGUGUGUGUGUUCGCUGUCGCUGUUUAUUAACAUUGUCAUGCUCUCCUUACUUUUUGCUUAACAAUUCAUGAUCAAUACUGAACAUUAUUUUUUGAAUAGAUGCCACUUGAACUUAGUUUUAGCUCUCAUGUUGUUCAAAGAAUCGUCAAGUAAUGUUUUGCAUGGAUUUUAUAACUGACACAAUGUUUCUGAUUUAAUGAGAGCCAACCAUGCGUUCCUGGCUUCCCCGGCGAUGCCAACAUGGCAGGGCAGGACCCAGUGGCCAUCUUCGGCGCCUUCAUGGACUUUGUUAGCGCCGACCUCUGCUUCAUCAUCUACGGCCACGACCCCUUUGCCGUCGGCAUCAUCUGGCACCUCGGAAUGCAAAUUAAAUGUGUUCAUGGAGUGGGGUGUAAUUGUGAUUUGUGCAAUGGGUUCAGAGUGGAAGGGGCUGUCAUUCUUGUUUAGCAAGGGCUGCAAGUUAUAUCGCUAUAAGCCUGACAUGCAGCGGCAACAACAGAUUCAGAUGUGGUAAGCUCAUUCAUUCAUUCUCUCAGGACAAGAGGACCAAAUUGAUUCAAAUUUUGUGUUCUGAUCUUAAUGUUGCGAGGUUUGCGAUCGCAUGUAUGGUCGGGACUGCGUGGGCCCGGCGACCAAUUGCUUGCAUCUCUUGCUGUAUGGUGAUGAUGGACCGGCUCCUGUUAAAUCCAAUACGACUGCACUUCUUCGCUUUAGGUGGCCGUGAAGCUCUGACUCCAUCCUCACGACACUCAAACCUGUCUUGAUGAUUGCAUCAGAUUGCAACUCUAUUAUCUUUCCAUACCAUGAUAUGCGUGCAUGUCUCUUCGGUUCUCAAACAAGAAAUACUUUUCUUUCAGUUUGCUUUGUAGGUAACAUGCAGUGUACAGUUGGUAGCAGAUUAUGAUGCAAGUUUGUUUGUUUUCACUCCAAGCAUGAUUUUUAUGAUACAUGACGCUACUCUGAGGCUGCUCCUCACUACCAGUCACAACAAGAUGGGGCCCCUGGUGGUCCUCUGAAAUUUGAUUCUCUCGAUGGCCGAGGAUCGUUUUGCUUUGAAGUCUGAUGUACAUUUUUUUAAUCUCAUGUAGGAAGAAGGUAUCCCCCCUAUACGAAGAUUUCUAGCUUGCCUGUGUGUUGAUAAGUGCAUUCGGCCAAACAAUUUGUGGACCAAAUAAACUUGUUGCAGAUACAGAAGAACAAGGCUGCACACAAGGAGUUGCCUGAAUUGCAGUGGCAGCGGUGUUGUAAUAUGUAAUGUUUUGCAUCAACUUGGUCCAUAUUCUAUCCAUAAGUCUAAUGAAUUGGCCCUUGUUUAUCAGGAAUCAAGCUUGUGAAGAAAAAUUUCGUUACUUUAAUGACACACACUUGCAGUAAGUCAUUCAGAGAUAUAUUCAGUACAUGCUAGGUUGCCAAGCUCAGAGCCACCUGUUGUCUCCAUGAAUUCGCUGAAAGCAAAAAUCAAUUGUCCAUAGUCAUGUGAAACCUUCUAGAAUUCUUUUUAGUAUUUUGCAUUGCUUGUGCAUUUCUUUUUUUAUCACUUCUAAUAACCUCAUUGAUUCAUUUUUCCUAUCGUCAUGUCAGUCCUUGCUCUAAAUUUUUUGUUAAUAUGUUGCACUUCUUGUGCAUUUCCAUUUUUAUCACUUCUAAUAAUCUCAUUGACUGUUUACAUCUCACCGUGUUUACCAAGAACACGAGUGAUAAUUUUGUUUUAUAAUAAUACAAUAGUGACAAUUUUAUUUUAUUUUAUUUUCUAACAUAGUUCUCAAUUAGGCUUACAAAUAUUUUACAUUGGCAGUAGUUCUGUCAUCAAGCUUAUGUGUAAUGUAUUCCUUAGAAUGGUGUUUCAGCCAUUUCUAUGUAGGUGGCAUGUGUGAUGGCACGUAUUUCAGCCAUAUCGACUUAGGUGGCAUGUGUGCUGGCACAAGAAAAGGAAGGCCCUGAACUGAAAGGAGCAACAUAUAUUAAUGAAAUGCCCUGAAUUAAGUGUGUGAGAGAGAGAGAGUUCAAUUUAAUUUGUCUGGUUUAAAUAUUUAUGAGUAAUUUAAUUUGUUUGACCUUGAGUGUUGACUUGCUUUUCAGUUGUCAACAAUGUCCAUUUUGCUGAAUGUACUUGCUUAUCCUUCUACUGGACUACCAUUGAUUCACUGUGCACAUACACUUUCCAAUUCUGUCUGUUUACUAUCUUUUGUUAUUAUUUGUCUUGAUAACUUGAUGCUUUCUUCCUUGGUAGUUUAAUCUUAACAGUUCCACAUCCCACAUCGAACCUUCUAGACUCGUCCAAGUGACCAUUUGCAACAUCCUUUUCUGGUCAAUCUGGAUUAUUUCAAGGUUUUCAUCACUCUGGUCUGCACAACAUUCAUGGAAAUUAUAGUCUUCCAAAAUAUUCCUGGAUCACUUGCAAAAAGGAAUGAUGUGAAGAGUAGGGUUCCAUCAUCUGGGGUCCAACAACCCAGAGGGAGCAUUUCUGGGAGAUUUGCUACAAACAGCCUUCCUGUUGUCAUUCUCAGAUUCCUCAUGCACAUUCAGGUGUCAGUGGUAGAGUAAUGAAUGUUGGUGGAGGUCAAGCAUUUAGAAGUGGAAUGAAUAUGGGUGGUACCAUUCAAGGUUUAUCCUCAAACUUGGCCACCAGUGGUAAUCGAAAUUAUGUUCCUGGAAACCCAGCUUUGGGUCCACGUAUUACAAACAUUGUGUGCAGAAGUAACAUUGGAAUAAAUAUAAGCUCUGGUGGGUUGUCGGUGCCGAUUAUCUCAUCACACAUCGAUUUUAGGGUCAAUGCUGCAAGUGGAAGACGAAAUGUGCAAGGAUCCAUGAUGAAUGGCCUUAUUCUGCAAGGUAUGCCUGAUGGAGCGAUUGGGUUGAUGCUGAAGCUGAUAUACUCCCCUAAGUUGCUCCAAUCGGGAAUGCAGAUAUACUUCCGUGAGUUGCUCCCCAAAACCAAUCCCUUGCUCUUCUUUGCACCAAUCGGACAAGAGAUGCGAGCCAUCCUUUUUACUAGAUGUUCUCUUGAUCGUUUCUUCCUAUGGAUUUUGUGGUUGCCAGAUGUUCUCUCACUGUGGAUUGGUAUGAAGGUUGUAAAACAUUUUCAUUAGGCAUCAAUUUUAUUGCUGGUGCUUGUCUGGCUGUAAAAUCUGCUCAAUAUGUAUAUUUUCCUUUCGUCUGUGUCCCUUUUCCGAUAUAAUACUGAACCUUUUGGAA
This is a long non-coding RNA of Triticum aestivum (bread wheat), 5045 nucleotides long. RefSeq lists it as uncharacterized. The record is from RefSeq and is a predicted model, not a curated record. NCBI's taxonomy places the organism in Eukaryota, Viridiplantae, Streptophyta, Magnoliopsida, Poales, Poaceae. The transcript is spliced from 5 exons.